GUGGGGAAUAUUGCGCAAUGGGGGAAACCCUGACGCAGCAACGCCGCGUGAGUGAGGAAGGACUUCGGUCUGUAAAGCUCUGUUAAUGUGGAAAAAUGGUAGUUGGUCUAAUAGGCCGAUUAUUUGAUGGUACACAUAGAGGAAGCACCGGCUAACUUCGUGCCAGCAGCCGCGGUAAUACGAAGGGUGCAAGCGUUGUUCGGAUUUAUUGGGCGUAAAGCGCGCGUAGGCGGACCUGCAAGUCAGAUGUGAAAUCUCGGGGCUCAACCCCGAAACUGCGUCGGAAACUACAGGUCUAGAAUCGUGGAGGGGGAAGGGGAAUAUCGCAUGUAGGGGUAAAAUCCGUAGAUAUGCGAUGGAACACCAGAGGCGAAGGCGCCUUCCUGGACAAGUAUUGACGCUGAGGCGCGAAAGCGUGGGGAUCAAACAGGAUUAGAUACCCCAGUAGUCC
This 451-nucleotide ribosomal RNA is filed under the name uncultured bacterium. Its description in RNAcentral is "partial 16S ribosomal RNA". It matches the Rfam family "Bacterial small subunit ribosomal RNA", at positions 354 to 796 of the family's 1533-position model. The record is from RNAcentral.